Molecule: long non-coding RNA, 479 nt
Organism: Malaclemys terrapin pileata
Lineage: Eukaryota; Metazoa; Chordata; Testudines; Emydidae
Exons: 5
Source: RefSeq, a predicted model, not a curated record
CUAAGCGAUGCAUCUGCCAUGUAGACUGAGUCCCAAUCCCUGUGCCACUUUGGAAACAAGAUACUGUUUCACCAACGACUGAGAGGACCGGUCAGCUGCUAACCUGAGGGCUGCACUCCUGCUAGCUGUGGAGAUCCAAGGACUGUUUGUUUGCUGACGGGGUUCAGAAGUGUUUUAAAGGACUGAGAUGCUGCUAUUUCUCAUGCUCUGAAGAGUCCAGAGCGAUGCCUAAAAUAGCAGAAUAGAAGAUGGCCCCUAACCAGAAAAAAAUUACGCACGCACCCCAGAUUUUGGAACAGAGUGCAGCCUGACUGUAUCCUGUGAUCAUGAAAGGCCCAGGACUGAAAUAAGGAACUCUGGCUUCUUCAGAGCACGGGAUGGAUGAACAAGGGGACUGAAAAUUGAAGGAGGACUAAGAGCUCUACAUGUUCACAGAGAUGCAAACUUACCACUUUGUGCCAGUUCCUCUAGAAGUCCAC